UACGUAGGGGGCGAGCGUUAAUCGGAAUUACUGGGCGUAAAGCGUGCGCAGGCGGCGCGUUAAGACAGGUGUGAAAGCCCCGAGCUUAACUUGGGAAUUGCGCUUGUGACUGGCGUGCUGGAGUGUGGCAGGGGGAGGUGGAAUUCCACGUGUAGCAGUGAAAUGCGUAGAGAUGUGGAGGAACACCGAUGGCGAAGGCAGCCUCCUGGGCCAGCACUGACGCUCAUGCACGAAAGCGUGGGGAGCAAACAGG
This 253-nucleotide ribosomal RNA is filed under the name uncultured bacterium. RNAcentral's name for it is "partial 16S ribosomal RNA". It matches the Rfam family "Bacterial small subunit ribosomal RNA", at positions 524 to 776 of the family's 1533-position model. The record is from RNAcentral.